RNAcentral lists this ribosomal RNA (450 nucleotides) under uncultured bacterium. RNAcentral's name for it is "partial 16S ribosomal RNA". It matches the Rfam family "Bacterial small subunit ribosomal RNA", at positions 354 to 796 of the family's 1533-position model. The record is from RNAcentral.
GUGGGGAAUUUUGGACAAUGGGGGCAACCCUGAUCCAGCCAUCCCGCGUGUGCGAUGAAGGCCUUCGGGUUGUAAAGCACUUUUGGCAGGGAAGAAAAGUUUCGGGCUAAUACCCUGGAGCGAUGACGGUACCUGCAGAAUAAGCACCGGCUAACUACGUGCCAGCAGCCGCGGUAAUACGUAGGGUGCAAGCGUUAAUCGGAAUUACUGGGCGUAAAGCGUGCGCAGGCGGUUCGGAAAGAAAGAUGUGAAAUCCCAGGGCUUAACCUUGGAACUGCAUGUUUAACUGUCGAACUCGAGUAUGUCAGAGGGGGGUAGAAUUCCACGUGUAGCAGUGAAAUGCGUAGAGAUGUGGAGGAAUACCGAUGGCGAAGGCAGCCCCCUGGGAUAAUACUGACGCUCAUGCACGAAAGCGUGGGGAGCAAACAGGAUUAGAAACCCGUGUAGUCC